AUCGACAGGCUUAACACAUGCAAGUCGAGGGGCAGCACAGGUAGCAAUACCGGGUGGCGACCGGCGCACGGGUGAGUAACGCGUAUGCAACUUGCCCAUCAGAGGGGGAUAACCCGGCGAAAGUCGGACUAAUACCGCAUGAAGCAGGGAUCCCGCAUGGGAAUAUUUGCUAAAGAUUCAUCGCUGAUAGAUAGGCAUGCGUUCCAUUAGGCAGUUGGCGGGGUAACGGCCCACCAAACCGACGAUGGAUAGGGGUUCUGAGAGGAAGGUCCCCCACAUUGGUACUGAGACACGGACCAAACUCCUACGGGAGGCAGCAGUGAGGAAUAUUGGUCAAUGGCCGAGAGGCUGAACCAGCCAAGUCGCGUGAGGGAUGAAGGUUCUAUGGAUCGUAAACCUCUUUUAUAAGGGAAUAAAGUGCGGGACGUGUCCCGUUUUGUAUGUACCUUAUGAAUAAGGAUCGGCUAACUCCGUGCCAGCAGCCGCGGUAAUACGGAGGAUCCGAGCGUUAUCCGGAUUUAUUGGGUUUAAAGGGUGCGUAGGCGGCCUUUUAAGUCAGCGGUGAAAGUCUGUGGCUCAACCAUAGAAUUGCCGUUGAAACUGGGGGGCUUGAGUAUGUUUGAGGCAGGCGGAAUGCGUGGUGUAGCGGUGAAAUGCAUAGAUAUCACGCAGAACCCCGAUUGCGAAGGCAGCCUGCCAAGCCAUUACUGACGCUGAUGCACGAAAGCGUGGGGAUCAAACAGGAUUAGAUACCCUGGUAGUCCACGCAGUAAACGAUGAUCACUAGCUGUUUGCGAUACACUGUAAGCGGCACAGCGAAAGCGUUAAGUGAUCCACCUGGGGAGUACGCCGGCAACGGUGAAACUCAAAGGAAUUGACGGGGGCCCGCACAAGCGGAGGAACAUGUGGUUUAAUUCGAUGAUACGCGAGGAACCUUACCCGGGUUUGAACGCAUUCGGACCGAGGUGGAAACACCUUUUCUAGCAAUAGCCGUUUGCGAGGUGCUGCAUGGUUGUCGUCAGCUCGUGCCGUGAGGUGUCGGCUUAAGUGCCAUAACGAGCGCAACCCUUGCCACUAGUUACUAACAGGUAAAGCUGAGGACUCUGGUGGGACUGCCAGCGUAAGCUGCGAGGAAGGCGGGGAUGACGUCAAAUCAGCACGGCCCUUACAUCCGGGGCGACACACGUGUUACAAUGGCGUGGACAAAGGGAGGCCACCUGGCGACAGGGAGCGAAUCCCCAAACCACGUCUCAGUUCGGAUCGGAGUCUGCAACCCGACUCCGUGAAGCUGGAUUCGCUAGUAAUCGCGCAUCAGCCAUGGCGCGGUGAAUACGUUCCCGGGCCUUGUACACACCGCCCGUCAAGCCAUGGGAGCCGGGGGUACCUGAAGUCCGUAACCGCGAGGAUCGGCCUAGGGUAAAACUGGUGACUG
Molecule: ribosomal RNA, 1432 nt
Filed under: uncultured organism
Description: SSU rRNA
Rfam family: Bacterial small subunit ribosomal RNA
Source: RNAcentral